AUACGUAGGGGGCGAGCGUUGUCCGGAAUGAUUGGGCGUAAAGGGCGCGUAGGCGGCCCGGUAAGUCUGGAGUGAAAGUCCUGUUUUUAAGAUGGGACUUGCUUUGGAUACUGUCGGGCUUGAGUGCAGGAGAGGUAAGUGGAAUUCCCAGUGUAGCGGUGAAAUGCGUAGAGAUUGGGAGGAACACCAGUGGCGAAGGCGACUUACUGGACUGUAACUGACGCUGAGGCGCGAAAGUGUGGGGAGCAAACAGGAUUAGAUACCCUGGUAGUCCACACUGUAAACGAUGAAUGCUAGGUGUAGGGGGUAUCGACCCCUUCUGUGCCGCAGUCAACACAAUAAGCAUUCCGCCUGGGGAGUACGGCCGCAAGGUUGAAACUCAAAGGAAUUGACGGGG
This 397-nucleotide ribosomal RNA is filed under the name uncultured bacterium. RNAcentral describes it as "partial 16S ribosomal RNA". It matches the Rfam family "Bacterial small subunit ribosomal RNA", at positions 523 to 918 of the family's 1533-position model. The record is from RNAcentral.